Molecule: ribosomal RNA, 17 nt
Filed under: Acer campestre (hedge maple)
Lineage: Eukaryota; Viridiplantae; Streptophyta; Magnoliopsida; Sapindales; Sapindaceae
Also listed under: 4 other names
Description: partial 18S ribosomal RNA
Source: RNAcentral
GAACCUGCGGAAGGAUC